GAUGAACGCUGGCGGCGUGCCUAAUACAUGCAAGUCGUGCGAACAGAUGUGGUUCUAGCGCCUCUGACGGUAGCGGCGGACAGGAGCGUGUCACGUGGAUAACCUACCGUUAGGACUGACAGAACUUCAGGAAACCUAAGCUAAUACCGAGUCAUAUAGUGAACUGCAUGGUUCAAUAGUGAGAGAUGCUUUUGCUGACACUUAUAUAUUGUUCCGCGCUUCGUUAGCUAGUUGGUAAGGUAACGGCUGACCAAGGCAACGAUGAGUAGCCGCCCUGAGCGGGAGAGCGGCCCCACUGGAACUGAGACACGGUCAAGACUCCUACGGGAGGCAGCCGUAGCGACUAUUCCGGGAAGGGCGAAAGCAUGACGGAGCAACGCCGCGUGAGUGAUGAAGGUAUUCGGAUCGUAAAACUCUGUUAUUAGGGAAGAAAAAAUGUGUAAGUAACUAUGAAAGACAUGACGGUACCUAAUCAGAAAGCGACGGCUAACUACGUG
RNAcentral lists this ribosomal RNA (497 nucleotides) under uncultured bacterium. RNAcentral describes it as "partial 16S ribosomal RNA". It matches the Rfam family "Bacterial small subunit ribosomal RNA", at positions 28 to 507 of the family's 1533-position model. The record is from RNAcentral.